RNAcentral lists this transfer RNA (73 nucleotides) under Chloroflexota bacterium. RNAcentral's name for it is "Chloroflexi bacterium tRNA-Thr". It matches the Rfam family "tRNA". Rfam says of the family: Transfer RNA (tRNA) molecules are approximately 80 nucleotides in length. Their secondary structure includes four short double-helical elements and three loops (D, anti-codon, and T loops). The record is from RNAcentral. Lineage: Bacteria; Bacillati; Chloroflexota.
GCCCACAUAGCUCAGGUGGUAGAGCGUCGCCUUGGUAAGGCGAAGGUCGCCGGUUCAACCCCGGCUGUGGGCU